Molecule: ribosomal RNA, 409 nt
Filed under: uncultured bacterium
Lineage: Bacteria
Description: bacterial SSU rRNA
Rfam family: Bacterial small subunit ribosomal RNA
Source: RNAcentral
UGGGGAAUAUUGCACAAUGGGCGAAAGCCUGAUGCAGCGACGCCGCGUGCGGGAUGACGGCCUUCGGGUUGUAAACCGCUUUCGGCAGGGAAGAAGCCGUAAGGUGACGGUACCUGCAGAAGAAGCCACGGCUAACUACGUGCCAGCAGCCGCGGUAAUACGUAGGUGGCAAGCGUUGUCCGGAUUUACUGGGCGUAAAGGAUGCGUAGGCGGAUACUUAAGUCAGAUGUGAAAAUCCCGGGCUUAACUUGGGAACUGCAUUUGAAACUGGGUAUCUAGAGUGCGGGAGAGGACAGUGGAAUUCCUAGUGUAGCGGUGAAAUGCGUAGAGAUUAGGAAGAACACCAGUGGCGAAGGCGACUUUCUGGACCGUAACUGACGCUGAGGCAUGAAAGCGUGGGGAGCAAACA